Helianthus annuus (common sunflower) is the source of this 2379-nucleotide long non-coding RNA. RefSeq lists it as uncharacterized. The transcript has 8 exons. NCBI's taxonomy places the organism in Eukaryota, Viridiplantae, Streptophyta, Magnoliopsida, Asterales, Asteraceae. The record is from RefSeq and is a predicted model, not a curated record.
UAAUCAGAGGGAGAGAGAACACAAAUCAAAGAUGGAUCUGACCGCCCCUUUCCUUUUCGUUCUCUCUCUCUUACUCAAAGAUUAAGAUUUUAGAUCUGCUGGAUCUAUUCACCGUAAGCUAUUGUUCCCGAGGAUCUGGACACCUUCCCUAAGAUGGUUGAAGAUGGAUCCCUAGUCGUCGCAUCUGGUGAAGACGGUGAACAUAGAAGAGAGAGAGAGAUAGAAAGAGAUAUAUGGAGUUAGAGAGAGAAAAGAGGAGAUACAAGAGGAGAGAGAGAACGGUGAUGGCAGCUGUUAGGGUUCCGGCCGUGAAACCGACUAUUCAUUUUUCUGGUUAGGUGAAUCAGACAAAUUGAGAGAGACUAAGAGAGAGAGAGAGAGAGAGAGAGAGAGAGAGAGAGAGAGAGAGAGAAGGGAGCCGAGAGUGAGAGUGAGAGUGAGAAAAGGAUCGAGUCUGCUUCCGACAAAAAUCCGGCAUCUGACCAGCAACGGCAGGGGUGAGCUUGGGUAGUUCUGGUUCACGAUAAUAAGGGAGCUUAUCUUGAUGAUAACGAGAAUCCGGUUUUUCUUGAUUGUGUUAGAGAACCUGAGGGACGGAUUGCUGGAAAUCUGAACAUCAGAACAUGUCGUGUUCUUGGACUUUCUAUGCAAGUUUAUGCGGGCUAGACAUUUUUUUGUUUAUAUUGCAAACUUCAUAAUCUUAGAUUGAGAAGGUAUAUGGUCCUGGAAAUCAGUACAUGACAACUGCGAAAAUACUUGAGGUAUUACUCAUGUGAAUGCCACCUUUAAUUUUUUUUUAUUGCGGACGACUUUAUAUCACAAAAACUAGGCAGGUGGCUCGAUAUACAUUGUUUCCUGUUUUGCAGAGCAUACAAAAUUUUUUUAACUUAAAAUGGAACGGAUCAAAUGCCAAAAAAUGUGGAUGGGUAAACCAAUCUGACGGAGUGACAGGUCAACCAAGUUUUAACUCAAAACUUGUUUUGGCCUGUUAGCCACCACACAUGGUGUCACAUAUAACUGCAAGGGUUCUUCGCCAGGUAACGGUAACGAUGGUUGUUAAUGACGUGAAAUUCAUUUUGACAUUUUCUGAUCAACAAUGCUUUGUUUCAGUCGAAAAAUGCUUUGUUUAUCAUCUAUUGGAUUUUUGCAAAUAGUUUUUAAACUUAAUACGAUUAAGCAACUCGAAACUAGGGGUGCAAAUGAGCCGAGCUACUCGAGAUUGGCUUGAAAAAAAGCUCGAACGAGUCGAGCUUAAACGCGCGCUGCCGCAGCGAGCGCAGUCGUCGCGUAUUGUUGGACGGAUCAACCUCACUGCGGCUGCGAUUACGAAAAGAAUGACAGCGAUAGAAGAAAUGGCAGGAAUGGACGUUCUUUGUGGUGACAAAACCGGAACAUUGACUUUGAACAAGCUUACAGUUGACAAGAAUCUUAUCGAAUUCUGUCUCGUAGAUGCGUAUUUUUUUAUUACAAAUUCAGAUUUUUUACUUGUAUUUUGACUUUUGAGUUGACUUACUUUAUUAGGUAUUUGCCAAAGGAGUAGACGCCGAUACUGUCGUUCUGAUGGCUGCCUGAGACUCUAGAACCAAAAAUCAAGAUGCCAUUGAUGAUGCAAUAGUCGGUAUGAUGGCUGAUCCAAAAGAGAGGUUGUCUACUUGCUCGCCAAUCAUUCUUCCACAAUGAUGUGAAAAACUUUGCAGAUGUUGGCGGUGGUGUUCUGGGUUGUAGAGGAUUUCAUUCGAGUUUUUGUACUUCUCAGGGUGGUCUUUUCCUAAAUAUUGCCACAAAGAGCUGAGAAUCCGGGUAUGCAGCUCCGGGAGCAGAUGCAGCAGCUACAGUCCGCGUUAUAUGUUGCAGGUCAGCCACCAUCUGAUUUUGAUGCUGAUAAGAACGAACGACAUCAGUCAACACUGCAGUUUGCUACCAACCUUUUGCUCCAAAUGAGUAGCAGCCAUCAGAGUAAGGGAGUGGAAGUGGUUCUCUUCACUAUGGUAUUACCAACUACCAAGCCCAUGGUCUGACAUGGCAGCCACAUCAGCAAGUGCGUUCUCAAUUGGAUCAACCAUAUCCCAUGGCUCGAAAGCUAGCCCGCUUUCACAGUCGAAGACAUGUGGCAUGAGUAUCAGUUUCAACUCUCAAAACAAUAUCAAGAGUUUCACAGGCCUCAAGUCAUCCUUCUUAGCCAAGGAAAGCACUGCAGCUCCUCGAUGACAUAUCUAUCCAUUAAGCUCUCUUUUUUUUUGUUUAUUUGUUUUUAUGACAUAUCUAUCCAUUUUGGUGCUAAAUGGGUCAACACAGCUUGGGUUUGACGUGUUAUUUGUUCCGAGUUUGGCUUAUUUACUUGAGCUUUGGAAAAGUACAACGAAGUUGGGUUCUAAACUU